ACAAUCCUGUAACUGCCGCCACAUUCUAGAUUUCUAUGUAACAGGAUUGUCUGGGGAUCUCCCAUUAUAAUACAAGUGCUAUAGACCAGUGGCUCCCAAACCAGUCCUCGUGGCCUACCAACAAUCCAGGAUUUCUGUAUUUCCCUGUUUUGUUCCAGUGGAGAUAAUGACAAAUCCUGGACUGUUGGUCCAGGAUGAAUGAAUCGGGACUGUAUACUAAAUGGCCAUUCAAAGCAAAAAUAACUUUCCUGUGGAAAGCUGGGCUCCAUUUAUUCUUCAGAAGGUUUUUAAUUUCUUUUUUAAUGUUUUGUUGAAUGAAGCUGCGGGUUCCAUACUUUAAUAGUGGGUAAAAUAUAGAUAGAUCAAUAUAGAGAUAAUUGAUAGAACGAUGGGUA
This is a non-coding RNA of Pelobates cultripes (western spadefoot toad), 395 nucleotides long. The record is from the annotation of a GenBank genome assembly. NCBI's taxonomy places the organism in Eukaryota, Metazoa, Chordata, Amphibia, Anura, Pelobatidae.